AACAAACAGAAUUUGAGAUUUGAAUUUGAAAAUCAAAACAAGAAAGGGAGUAAUUUGAAACACGCGUAACAAGGGAAGGGUCGAAGGAGCAAAUUACCCAAAAAUACUGCACAGCACUGGGCUAAAAUAAAAUAGAUUCGAUAUUUCAUGGAAAAAUUUGAAAACAAAAAAAAAUGGUUUUGAAAUGAUAGGAUAAAAUGGAAGGAUUAAAAACAUAAAUAACCCAUAAAUAGAAUCUCAUUUCAUUUGCAGCCAAUAAAACCCAUUUCAAACCCCUAAAAGAGAACUCCUCUGCCAUUCAAAAUCGCGCCGCAGCAGUUCUCCUCCGCCGUUCCAGUCCCCUCCCAUGUCCGACCAGAUGACGACGAAACGAGGACGCUCUCUGACGACUCUCGCAACGGUGCGAGCGUGUGGCGUGCGCGGAGUGCUGAACGUGGGACGGUGUGGAGGCUACUGAACGUGGGGAAUGUGGUGCUGUUAAUUGCUGCUAGGAUUUCUGCUGUUUUAGGUCAAUUGGGCCCUGUAAUUGGGUUUAGCUUGGCCCAAGUUUUAUUGGGUUCAAUUGUAUUUAAUUUUAGUAUUUGAUUUGGGUUGUGUAAAUGGUUUUGGGCUUUUGGGUUAGUUAGGCCCGGGUCAAAAUUUGGGUAUUACAAUGAUCAUGCAAAGGGGACUAAAGACGGUAACAAAAACUAUAGCUUAAUAAUUGAGUAUUAUUAUAAAUAAA
Molecule: long non-coding RNA, 724 nt
Organism: Gossypium raimondii (Peruvian cotton)
Lineage: Eukaryota; Viridiplantae; Streptophyta; Magnoliopsida; Malvales; Malvaceae
Exons: 2
Source: RefSeq, a predicted model, not a curated record